Molecule: small nuclear RNA, 103 nt
Organism: Amblyraja radiata (thorny skate)
Lineage: Eukaryota; Metazoa; Chordata; Chondrichthyes; Rajiformes; Rajidae
Source: RefSeq, a predicted model, not a curated record
UUGGUGACGUCUCGGCUCUUCAAAAAUUGGAACGAUCCGGAGAAGAUUAGCGUGGCCCCGGCUUAAGGGCGAUACGCAAGUUCGUGAAGCGUUAAAUCCACCU